This 300-nucleotide ribosomal RNA is filed under the name uncultured bacterium. Its description in RNAcentral is "bacterial SSU rRNA". It matches the Rfam family "Bacterial small subunit ribosomal RNA", at positions 115 to 418 of the family's 1533-position model. The record is from RNAcentral.
ACGUGAGAAGUCUGCCCUUAGGAGGAGGGACUAACAGCUGGAAACGGUUGCUAAUACUCCAUUAUGCCGAAGAGGUGAAACGGAUUUAUCUGCCUAAGGAGGAGCUCGCGUCUCGAUUAGCUAGUUGGUAGGGUAAUAGCCUACCAAGGCGACGGAUCAGUUAGCUGGUUUUGAGAGGGAUGGAUCAGCCACACUGGGACUGAGACACGGCCCAGUACUCCUACGGGAGGCAGCAGUAGGGAAUUUUCCGCAAUGGGCGAAAGCCUGACGGAGCAAUACCGCGUGAGGGAUGACGGCCUG